CCUACGGGGUGCAGCAGUGGGGAAUAUUGGUCAAUGGAGGAAACUCUGAACCAGCCAUGCCGCGUGAAUGAAGACGGUCUUCGGAUUGUAAAGUUCUUUAGUUCGGGAAGAAUAAAAUGACGGUACCUGACGAAUAAGCUCCGGCUAACUAAGUGCUAGCCGCCCCGGUUAUACGUAGGGAGCAAGCGUUGUUCGGAAUGACAGGGCGUAAAGGGUGCGUAGGCGGGUAUAUAAGUGAGAAGGGAAAUACCCAGGGCUUAACUCGGGUGCUGCUGCUGAAACUGUAAGACUUGAGUGCAGUAGAGGUAAGUGGAAUGCCUGGUGUAGCGGUGGAAUGCGUAGAUAUUAGGAGGAACACCAGAGGCGAAGGCGGCUAACUGGAGUGCAACUGACGCUGAGGCACGAAAGUGUGGGGAGCGAACAGGAUUAGAUACCCUUGUAGUC
This 444-nucleotide ribosomal RNA is filed under the name uncultured bacterium. RNAcentral's name for it is "partial 16S ribosomal RNA". It matches the Rfam family "Bacterial small subunit ribosomal RNA", at positions 338 to 795 of the family's 1533-position model. The record is from RNAcentral.